CCCACACCUGCACCGAGAGAGAGAGAGAGAGAACAUGAAAACAUCAGGCCAAGAGAGAGAAUAUAAAGCUGCAAAAAAAACAGAAGGCCUCCAGACUGCAGUCUUUAACGGGUGGGGUGCUUUAAUUGUGGAGGUAAUGACAGUGGUGCAGCUGUGACGUCCUGCUGUGGGAGGCUGGUGCUGGUGCUGGGGCCUGCCUGUGCUUCAGCUAUGUUUCCCUGGGGGCCUGAUGUGCUGGAUGUGCCCACUGCAGACCUGAUAUUCCCUGCCAAGCCAAAGUAAAUAAAAGUCCAA
Scylla paramamosain (green mud crab) is the source of this 294-nucleotide long non-coding RNA. RefSeq lists it as uncharacterized. NCBI's taxonomy places the organism in Eukaryota, Metazoa, Arthropoda, Malacostraca, Decapoda, Portunidae. The transcript has 2 exons. The record is from RefSeq and is a predicted model, not a curated record.